AACGAACGCUGGCGGCGUGCUUAACACAUGCAAGUCGAACGGUAAGGCCCUUCGGGGUACACGAGUGGCAAACGGGUGAGUAACACGUGGGUGAUCUGCCCUGCACUUCGGGAUAAGCCUGGGAAACUGGGUCUAAUACCGGAUAGGACUCCUGGCUUCAUGGUUGGGGGUGGAAAGCUUUUGCGGUGUGGGAUGGGCCCGCGGCCUAUCAGCUUGUUGGUGGGGUAAUGGCCUACCAAGGCGACGACGGGUAGCCGGCCUGAGAGGGUGACCGGUCACACUGGGACUGAGAUACGGCCCAGACUCCUACGGGAGGCAGCAGUGGGGAAUAUUGCACAAUGGGCGCAAGCCUGAUGCAGCGACGCCGCGUGAGGGAUGACGGCCUUCGGGUUGUAAACCUCUUUCAGCACCGACGAAGCGCAAGUGACGGUAGGUGCAGAAGAAGGACCGGCCAACUACGUGCCAGCAGCCGCGGUAA
This 478-nucleotide ribosomal RNA is filed under the name uncultured bacterium. RNAcentral describes it as "partial 16S ribosomal RNA". It matches the Rfam family "Bacterial small subunit ribosomal RNA", at positions 28 to 523 of the family's 1533-position model. The record is from RNAcentral.